This 621-nucleotide ribosomal RNA is filed under the name Trichoderma sp. D19. RNAcentral's name for it is "SSU rRNA". It matches the Rfam family "Eukaryotic small subunit ribosomal RNA", at positions 889 to 1534 of the family's 1831-position model. Lineage: Eukaryota; Fungi; Ascomycota; Sordariomycetes; Hypocreales; Hypocreaceae. The record is from RNAcentral.
CAUCAGUAUUCAAUUGUCAGAGGUGAAAUUCUUGGAUUUAUUGAAGACUAACUACUGCGAAAGCAUUUGCCAAGGAUGUUUUCAUUAAUCAGGAACGAAAGUUAGGGGAUCGAAGACGAUCAGAUACCGUCGUAGUCUUAACCAUAAACUAUGCCGACUAGGGAUCGGACGAUGUUACAUUUUUGACGCGUUCGGCACCUUACGAGAAAUCAAAGUGCUUGGGCUCCAGGGGGAGUAUGGUCGCAAGGCUGAAACUUAAAGAAAUUGACGGAAGGGCACCACCAGGGGUGGAGCCUGCGGCUUAAUUUGACUCAACACGGGGAAACUCACCAGGUCCAGACACAAUGAGGAUUGACAGAUUGAGAGCUCUUUCUUGAUUUUGUGGGUGGUGGUGCAUGGCCGUUCUUAGUUGGUGGAGUGAUUUGUCUGCUUAAUUGCGAUAACGAACGAGACCUUAACCUGCUAAAUAGCCCGUAUUGCUUUGGCAGUACGCCGGCUUCUUAGAGGGACUAUCGGCUCAAGCCGAUGGAAGUUUGAGGCAAUAACAGGUCUGUGAUGCCCUUAGAUGUUCUGGGCCCGCACGCGCGCUACACUUACGGAGCCAGCGAGUACUCCCUGGCC